RNAcentral lists this non-coding RNA (23 nucleotides) under Arabidopsis thaliana (thale cress). The record is from RNAcentral. Lineage: Eukaryota; Viridiplantae; Streptophyta; Magnoliopsida; Brassicales; Brassicaceae.
UUUAACAGCCUGCCCACCCUGGA